GUACACGCUGUGACUAGCAUAUCAAUAAGCGGAGGAAAAGAAACUAACAAGGAUUCCCUUAGUAACGGCGAGUGAAGCGGGAAGAGCUCAAAUUUGAAAUCUUCAAGGUUUUACCUUGACGAAUUGUAGUUUAAAGAAGUGUUUUCUGUUGAAGUUUUGGUAAAAGUUCUUUGGAAUAGGACAUCAUAGAGGGUGAGAAUCCCGUAUUUGACCAUUAUUUUCAGCUUUGUGAUACACUUUCAAAGAGUCGGAUUGUUUGGGAAUGCAGCCCAAAAUGGGUGGUAAAUUUCAUCUAAAGCUAAAUAUUGGCGAGAGACCGAUAGCGAACAAGUACCGUGAGGGAAAGAUGAAAAGAACUUUGAAAAGAGAGUUAAAUAGUACGUGAAAUUGUCAAAAGGGAAGCGUUUAACACCAGUGUUGUUUUCUGAAAAUCAACCUCUGUUAGCUUUAUGCAUGUUUGUUUAGACCUAAUCAGCUAUCUUGCAUGUUCUAUUGUUUGCAGUGGUGCACUUUUCAGUUUACAGGUCAACAUCAGUUUUUUUUACCGUAAAAAAGUUAAAGAAAGGUAGCUCAUGGCUCCGGUCGUGAGUGUUAUAGUCUUUUUCCUAUGCGGUAGGAGAGACUGAGGUCUGCAGUGUAGGCUAUUUGGCUAGAUACUCAGGUGCUAUGUGAUACCAUUUCAUAAACAACUUGUUGAUUAUGUUUUGUCUAUUGCAUACUCGCUUGUACUAUCAUACCUACGCUUAGGAUGUUGAACUACUGAGACAUAGA
RNAcentral lists this ribosomal RNA (771 nucleotides) under uncultured Neocallimastigales. RNAcentral describes it as "partial large subunit ribosomal RNA". It matches the Rfam family "Eukaryotic large subunit ribosomal RNA", at positions 22 to 644 of the family's 3401-position model. Lineage: Eukaryota; Fungi; Neocallimastigomycota; Neocallimastigomycetes; Neocallimastigales. The record is from RNAcentral.